GAGAAGCUCGCGAAUCGUUGGUCGAUUGCCGGAGCGGUUCUCUUCAAGUUGGUAGAGUGGUUCUUUUCGUUCUAUAUUCUGUUCUUUAUCUUGUAAUUUGUAAAACUGUUUUUUAGUGGAACUGUUAAUCACUCUUUGUAGUGAUUAACGACUGGACGUAGAUUCUGUUGAAUCGAACCAGUAUAAAAAUACUUGUGUAAUUUUUUCUAUUCCCUACACUCAUUUUAUUUAACGCACAUCAACUGUUUGGUUAAUUUUCUGAAAGAAAAUUAUUUGUGUAAAACUGUGACCUAAUACGCUUUACGCUCUCUGAGUAUUAUUUCCGCUGCGCAAUACUCUUCGAAAAUUACCCC
Molecule: long non-coding RNA, 353 nt
Filed under: Vigna radiata
Lineage: Eukaryota; Viridiplantae; Streptophyta; Magnoliopsida; Fabales; Fabaceae
Description: long non-coding RNA (VRAD_LNC005285)
Source: RNAcentral